AAGCUUGGUUGGGUUGUCGCUUGGCUNCUUCCGGNAGCAUGUGCACGCCUAACACCAAUCUUCUUACCACCUNGUGCACUUNUUUNGUAGAUCUGGAUAUCUCUCGAGGAAACUCGGUAUUGAGGGCUGCUGUGCGUUAAAGCCGGCUUUCCUUACAUUUCCGGUCUAUGUCUUUAUAUACACCAUUUGUAUGUCUACGAAUGUUAUUAUAGGACUUUGUCCAAAUAAACCUUAUACAACUUUCAACAACGGAUCUCUUGGCUCUCGCAUCGAUGAAGAACGCAGCGAAAUGCGAUAAGUAAUGUGAAUUGCAGAAUUCAGUGAAUCAUCGAAUCUUUGAACGCACCUUGCGCUCCUUGGUAUUCCGAGGAGCAUGCCUGUUUGAGUGUCAUGAAAUUCUCAACCUUUUUGGCUUUUUCUUAAAGUUGAUUAGGCUUGGAUGUGGGGGUUUGCGGGCUUUGUCUGAAGUCGGCUCUCCUUAAAUUCAUUAGUAGGGACCUUUGUUGCCUUAGCUUUUGGUGUGAUAAUUAUCUACGCCAUUAUGUGAAGCAGCUUUAAAUUGGAGGUUACUGCUCUCUAACCGUCUCUCAUGGGACAAUUUUCUGACAAUUUGACCUCAAAUCAGGUAGGACUACCCGCUGAACUUAAGCAUAUCAAUAAGCGGAGGAAAAGAAACUAACAAGGAUUCCCCCUAGUAACUGCGAGUGAAGCGGGAAAAGCUCAAAUUUAAAAUCUGAGGGUCUUUAUGGCCUUCCGAGUUGUAAUC
Molecule: ribosomal RNA, 766 nt
Filed under: Tricholoma batschii
Lineage: Eukaryota; Fungi; Basidiomycota; Agaricomycetes; Agaricales; Tricholomataceae
Description: eukaryotic LSU rRNA
Rfam family: 5.8S ribosomal RNA (bases 238-391)
Source: RNAcentral